Molecule: ribosomal RNA, 481 nt
Filed under: uncultured bacterium
Lineage: Bacteria
Description: partial 16S ribosomal RNA
Rfam family: Bacterial small subunit ribosomal RNA
Source: RNAcentral
GAUGAACGCUGGCGGCGUGCUUAACACAUGCAAGUCGAACGAAGCAUUUAAGACAGAUUACUUCGGUUUGAAGUCUUUUAUGACUGAGUGGCGGACGGGUGAGUAACGCGUGGGUAACCUGCCUCAUACAGGGGGAUAGCAGCUGGAAACGGCUGGUAAUACCGCAUAAGCGCCCAGUACCACAUGGUACAGUGUGAAAAACUCCGGUGGUAUGAGAUGGACCCGCGUCUGAUUAGCUUGAUGGCGGGGUAACGGCCCACCAAGGCGACGAUCAGUAGCCGACCUGAGAGGGUGACCGGCCACAUUGGGACUGAGACACGGCCCAGACUCCUACGGGAGGCAGCAGUGGGGAAUAUUGCACAAUGGAGGAAACUCUGAUGCAGCGACGCCGCGUGAGUGAAGAAGUAGUUCGAGAUGUAAAGCUCUAUCAGCAGGGAAGAUAGUGACGGUACCUGACUAAGAAGCUCCGGCUAAAUACGUG